UACGGGGGGGGCAAGCGUUGUUCGGAAUUACUGGGCAUAAAGGGCUCGUAGGCGGCCAACUAAGUCGGAUGUGAAAUCCCCAGGCUUAACCUGGGAACUGCAUCCGAUACUGGAUGGCUUGAAUCCGGGAGAGGGAUGCAGAAUUCCAGGUGUAGCGGUGAAAUGCGUAGAUAUCUGGAGGAAUACCGGUGGCGAAGGCGGCAUCCUGGACCGGCAUUGACGCUGAGGAGCGAAAGCUAGGGGAGCAAACGGG
This 253-nucleotide ribosomal RNA is filed under the name uncultured bacterium. RNAcentral's name for it is "partial 16S ribosomal RNA". It matches the Rfam family "Bacterial small subunit ribosomal RNA", at positions 524 to 776 of the family's 1533-position model. The record is from RNAcentral.